RNAcentral lists this long non-coding RNA (40454 nucleotides) under Brachypodium distachyon (stiff brome). RNAcentral describes it as "long non-coding RNA (BDIS_LNC001734)". The stretch from base 19337 to 19472 matches the Rfam family "MIR1120/MIR1122 microRNA precursor family". The record is from RNAcentral. Lineage: Eukaryota; Viridiplantae; Streptophyta; Magnoliopsida; Poales; Poaceae.
CAGAAUAUAUGACCCAUGCUCCUUUAGGCUCUUUAAAUUCCGUGGGUGGCGUAGCUACCGAGAUCAAUGCAGUUAAUUAUGUCUCUCCUAGAAGUUGGUUAUCGACUUCUCAUUUUGUUCUAGGAUUCUUCUUUUUUGUGGGCCAUUUGUGGCAUGCAGGAAGAGCCCGAGCUGCUACAGCAGGUUUUGAAAAGGGAAUCGAUCGUGAUUUAGAACCUGUUCUUUACAUGAACCCUCUUAACUAAGAUUUUCGAUAUGACCUGAAGAUGAAUAUGCCCUAAAUUAGAAACUCCAUGCAACUAUUCAUCUCCUCGGGUCGCCAAUGGUCUUACAUUUUUUUUUAAAUUUGAACUUCAAGCCCAAAUUGUGAAAAGCACUGAAGACAAGUAUACAAUAAAACUAAAGACGACACAUUAAUUGUUAGAGGAAAGAGCAAAUGAUAGCUUUGAUGUUCAUGUUCCUUCUAUUUCCAAUGCGAUCAUUGAAGCCUCGACUUCAGAGAAAUUGUUUCUCUGUUCGACAGUUCACUUGGGCCAAUUUGGGGCUUUAAUUUUUUUGGGAGUUACUUCCUCGCUACAAACUUCAAAACCCAGCAAGGUGGGGGCUCAACGGCCAAAGUGGCCUCCUGGCGGUGCGUCCAGCCUCCUAGCAUCUCGGUGGUAGCACGGUGUGAAAGUGAGGUCUAAGGUCAUCGAGGUCCUCGUGCUCUGCUAUGCUUUUCUUUCUAUAUCUCUCGGUCUCAUGGUUCACUUUUGUUGACGCUUUUGAUCAACUCAUUGUCUACUUGUUACCAAAACAAGUAUGAUUUUGCUAUAUGUAAGUUUCCUGAUUUUUUAGUUAGAGAUAAGUUGAUUUCUCAGCCAUUUGAUAUGAUUUGUGAUCUAAGAUUGGAAAUGGAUGAGAGAUGAAAAAAGACGGAUAAAAUAAGAUCUAAAUACUAAUCUAACGGAUAUGCUUCGUCAACUUAGAUUUUAGAUUUUUCUUUCCACCUGGGGUUUCCCCCCUUUCCAUUAUUACUAACGGAAAUAUAAAGUCUGAUACACAUGCACGGACAGGGGUGGGGGAACAAAAGAAGAAACCUAACCAUGGGCAGGAAAACCGCUGACCAGCUUCUGCAAUCAGAAGCUGACUACGGGACAAAAACCUGCCCCUACACCCCCAAGCCCUAGACAAAGUCUUAACACCAAGUUCCAGCCUAAAAAGAUUACAAAACAACAACCAAGACAGCCACCUCGAACAUUAAAGCAAAAGCAAAGAGCAAUCCUCCAGAACAAGCAUCCUCAGAGAGUGAUUGUCAGACGUGCCACAUCCACUGCUUCAUCAGUUGGCACCGAUGCAUCUUCAUGAAGACUUCGCAUGAGCUCCUUCACAUUGGCAAUCAGCUGCUGAGCACCCUCCUUCAAGAGCUCCUUGUCACCAUCCCUCUGCAAACCUGACCAAGACAACACAGAAGCACACGCAGUGAAAAUAAUCUCAAAAGGGGACCAAAGAUUAUACUUCUGGAAAGUCACACGAUUCCUGCACUUCCAUAUAGCCCAGGUUAUAGCAGCUAAACCAACCACAAAAAAUUUGUCACCAUAGGGUAGAAAAGAGUGCAUCCACACAAAGUAUUGCCAGACAUAAUUUGGGAUAGUGGAAGUUCCAAAAAGGGAACCCACGGUCCCCCAAACCAGUUUAGACACAGGGCAGAGGAAGAACAAAUGCUUAGCAUUCUCAGGCUGAACACAGAAAGAGCAUAGAGGAGAGCCUGUCCAAUUUUUCUUACACAAACAAUCCCUUGUAAGCACAGCAUACUAGAACGGCAAUCACAAAAAGAUCUGAAUUUUAAGAGGAUUUUUUGCCUUCCAAUCCACUUGUUAUGUGCCCCAUGAAGGAACCUUUCCUGCCAAGUAUAAAGAGAUUUAAGAGUGAAAGUAGAUUUAUUAUGAACCCAACUAACAUGAUCUAGCUCGUUAGAUAAAAGCAAGGCCCCCACUUUAUCCCUAAUCAUUCUCCAUUGUACCAGCAAGUUAGGAUUAAGUUGUCUUCUGAAAUGUAACAUAAACCCAGCAUCAACAAACUCCUUAAUAGUAAUAUCAGGGGAUAAGCAGAUCUCAAAAAGUUCAGGAAAUUGGGAAGAUAAUAAACCAUUGGCCUCAUCCCAAUCAUCAUUCCAUAAUCUCAUUAGGUUCCCACAACUCAAAUGGAGCUUCCUACCAGCAAGAUAAUAUUCUCUCACUUUUAGCAAAGUUUUCCAACAAGUUGAAUCAGUUUGUUUAAGCUUCACAGUAGAUAAAGUAGCAUGAGAUAGAUAUUCUGUUUAACAAUAGUUUGCCAUAAGCCUUGACCUAUAAUCAAGGUUCCACCACCACUUGCAUAACAAACUAAUAUUUUGUUUUCUCAAAUCAUUAAUACCCAAACCCCCUUUAUUCCUGGAUCUACAAACCCUAGACCACUUCACAAGAUGAUAUUUCUUCUUAUCUCCAGUACCUUGCCAAAGAAACCUUCUUCUAUGUUUAUCAAGUUUUUCAAUAAAGGUCUUAUUAAACAAGAACAUUGACAUAUGAUAAUAGGGUAGACUGGAUAGACAAGCAUUCAACAAAAUAGUCUUGCCACCCAUAGACAAGGUAUAACCUUUCCAAGCCUCCAAUCUUUUAAGAAAUUUAGUAUUCAGGAAUUCCCAAUCUUUAUUUUUAAUAGAAGCAAAACUAACAGGGACACCAAGAUAACGCAAAGGAAGUGUACCAAUUUGACAGCCAUACAAAUUAGCAUAGUAGGAGGCAAUAUCAUUAUCCCCCCCCUCCCCCCCCAAUAAGAAACACUUCACUCUUGAGGAAGUUAAUUUUCAAACCAGACAUCAUUUCAAAGAUGUACAACAACAACUUUAGGUUAAUGGCUUUCUCCUCAUCAUGCUGCAAGCAAAUUACAGUAUCAUCAGCAUACUGUAAGAUAGCAAGCCCAUUCUCAACCAAAUCACUAGCCAAAUCAGUAAACAUAUUAUUUCUUUGUCCCUUCAAAACCAUUUUAGUGAGAAAUUAUGCUUCCAAGUUAAACAACAUAGGAGAUAAAGGAUCCCCCUGCCUCACCCCUUUGGAACUAACAAAAUAAGGACACACGGUAUCAUUCAGCUUAACACUAACAGUGCCAUCCCUAAGAACUUGAUCAAUCCAAUGACACAAUUUCUCAUUAAAACCUUUAUGAUGAAGACAGGAAAGCAAAAACUCCCGAUUAACUUUGUCAUAUGCUUUUUCAAAAUCAAGUUUAAGAACAACACCAAUCUCCCUCUUGACAUGGGUGUGAUGCAUAACUUCAUGCAAGGUUAAAACCCCAUCCCUAAUAUUUCUUUUUUUAAUGAAAGCAUUCUGUUGAAUAUUGAUCAGUUUAUCAGCAUAAUGUUCCAAACGAAUAGUUAGGGAUUUAGUCAACCACUUGUAUAUAUAUUUAAGUAAACAGAUAGGCCUAAAUUGUUGAAUCUUAUCAGCACCAGUCAAUUUUGGCAAAAAAAAGUAAUGACACCAUAAUUCAGUCUUUGUACCUCCAAAGUCCCCUUAUGAAACUCUUGAAACAUGUUAAAAAUAUCAGAGGAGAUAAUAGGGCAAGAAGCUUGAAAAAAUUCAAUUGGAAUAUUGUCAGGGCACCUCCCUUGUUAGGUUUCAUGGAGAACAGAGCAUGUAUUAAUUUCCUCCAUUGUAAAAGGCUUAGUUAGAUCAUCAUUAUCUUGGACAGACAGGAUUUCAUGGGCUUCCCAAAGAUCAGAAUCAAUAUUAAACAGAUUACCAGGAGCUGGGCCAAAUAACUCUUUAUAAUAAGAGGUAGCAUGAGCUAAAAGAUUUUUAGUUCCUUCUAUAUUAACAUCCCCAUCUUUGAGAUUAUGAAUAGUGUUCUUCCUCUUUCUACCAUUAGCAAUUCUAUGGAAAUAUGCAGUAUUUUGAUCCCCUUUCAAAAUCCAGUUUUCAUGAGAUUUCUAAACCCAGCCUAAUUCCUCCUCAACAUCAAGGCUAUCAAGUUCAGUAAGAAUAUCCACUUUUCUACCAAACAUGUUAGGAGGCAAGACAUCCACCUCCUCCCAUUGCUCAAUAGCAGCAAGCUCCUCCUUAAGGUCAUUUCUCCCUUUUCUAUUAACUCCAAACAAGUGAGACCCCCAUCCUUUAAAAUACUUUUUAAUUUUCUUCAACUUGAUAUUAAUCACAUCCACUACAUUAUCUUUAGUGACAGGUUGGUUCCAAAUCUCAGCAACUUUAGGAAGAAAAUCUUCAUUUUUUAACCAGGCAAGAUCAAAAUGAAACUCUUUUUUUUUCAAUUUAGGUGGACCGACAUUGGAAUUCAACAGCAAAGGAUUAUGAUCAGACUUAGAUCUAACCAGCUUCUCAACAGUACCAAAGGAAACAAAUCCUCCCAAUCAAAAGACAUGAGCACUCUGUCAAGUUUUUCCAGAAUGUGAUCAGUUUGGUUAUUAGACCAGGUAAAAUCCCCCCACUCAGAUUAAUUUCUCUAAGACCCAAGGUGUGAAUAAUAUAAUUAAACAGAUCAGAAGAAUGAGAGGCAUGGAACUGUUUAUUUUUUUCACCCGCAUGUCUAAGAACAUUAAAAAUCCCCACCCACAAUAUAAGGACAACCAAGUCCAUUACAGAAAGCUGCCAAUUCAGCCAAGAAAGCACCCCUCAAAUCCUCAUGAGCAGCUCCAUAAACAGAAAGCAAGCUCCACUUACAUUUCUUAGACUUAUCCCAAAGAUCAAGCUGAACAAUAAAAUCACCCAAUUUAAAAGAAGAAACAUCAAACUUAUCAUUUCUCACACCACAUAAAAUCCCACUAGCUCUUCCCAAAGAAGGAAUCAAUUUCCAGAAAAAAUCACCUCUAGGAUCAAGGAGUCUGAAAAAACUAGGAAGGUAAUCUUUUUUAUGUGUCUCCUGAAAGUAGAUAAAGUCUAGGUUAUUAGCAUGGAUUAAAUCAGAGAGGCAGGCAACCAUGCCCUUUUUACUUACCCUCUGCAAUUCCAAAAUAGACCAAUCAUGAAGUAUUUGUGAUUUGCUUUCCCCUCCUUCUAGUAGUGCCAGGGGGUACAGGGCCCCUACUAGAAAGAGAGGCAGCUUUAUUCCGACUUCUAGUCACAGGUCUCAAACACUUAGGGGAUACUUUUACUCUAGGAAUCUUCUUUUUCUUAGGCUGUACCAACACAAAUUGUUGCUGCUCAUCCUCAUCAUCAGAUAACCAUUGAAGGGAAAGGGGGGGGGGGGGUAGAUUCACCAUUGUUAGUCACAAUAUGCAGAUUAGUAUCCAAGGACUGAUGUUUUUUAAGAAGAUUAGCUCUGACCACUUCCAAUUCCUAAAGAAUAUUGAUGGAAGAGAAAUUAUUAUCUGGGAAACACACCCCUAGCUAGCUGUGUAGCCCUAAGAACCAGCUCAUUAUUUGCGAUAUAAGCCAAAAGAGUAGAAAUAGAUUCAGAGAUAGGGCAAGCAGCAUUACCUUCCACGUUCCUUUUCCUAGAGACUAAAAUAGCUUUCUCCAACAUUUUACCCAAGUUUCCCUGUUUCAAUAACCUCUGACUAAACCUGAUUCCAGAUUCAGAAACAAGAUGAUCAUCAAUAAAAACAUCAUGUAUUAAUACCUGCUCUUCCUCUCCUGGACCUUCAAGCAGCUCACCAGAUGGAGAAUGAACAACAUACUCAUGAAUUUGAGAUAAAGCAACAGCUUGAGAUUCGUUCAAUUCUACAAUAUGAGGAGCAAUAGUAUCCAUCACAACUGGAGGUAUAGUAGGAGACACAGAGUAUAGGGUCCAUGAAGGUUACCAAACAACUUAGAAGCCACCAUCAAGCAAGAGAUAUUUAGAGUAGCAGGAGCAAAAGAAGGAGCACAAGGAAUUACCAUCUUCCUCACACACCUCAUCAGAUGGAGUACUGAAAUCAUCCCCAAAAUCAACAGCUUCAUCAACAAGUUUAUCCACCAGCAUAGCAACUGGUUCCACAGGAACAUCAGUGCUCUGAUUCAGAGUAGGAGGUAAGUGCUCAAAAACAUCAGUUUGAACAACCCCUUGCAUAGGUACAAUAUUCAGAGGAGAAACAUUAACAGAAACAUCCUGCAAAGUAGGCAUUUGCAAAAGCACCACCUAAACAUUACUAACGGUAGGAGAAGAAAAGUCCAGGCCCACCCUAGUAGAAUAGUUGCCAGUAUUAUGCCUGGAGCUCCCAGCACCUCCCAUACCAAAGGUAUUCUGCUCACUCAUAGGAGGCUCGAUAUCCAUUCUAGGACACUUGUUAGGAGAAAGAGCCAUAGUAGGAUCUUGACCAUCCACAGCCACACCUCUGGCAUUCUUAGGAUUCUCACCCACAAUGACAGAGUCAACGUCAUAGAAAAAAUCAUAGAAAUGUCGGCCCAAACAUCUCUCAGCAACCUCAGGAAGUUAGGUAAUGUCUCGGCAUCCCAAGAGAACACGAACGUACUCAGGUUUAUGCAAAGUAGACGUAUCAAUUUCCAAAGGCACACCAACUAAGGAAGCAUCAAAGGAAGCAUUUCUCUCAGUACGCUUAUCAGUAGGAAUAUUAGAGACACGCACCCAGGCAAUGUUCAGCUCAGCUUUAGCUCCCACAGAGGUAGUCCAGUGAGUUAAGCGUAAAGUAGCAGCACAACCACACAUAGUGAAUCUAUCUUGGUAACAAGCUUUCUCAACCUCGCGAGCAUUAGGAAAACGCAUCACAUAUUUGUCAGGACCAAUCUGCCUAGCAGUACACCUCCAACCCGAAGCAAAGAAUUUUGUGAACUCAUUUUCAAUCUCCCUACAAGAAGCAAUCCCCUCUAUCACAGAGAUAACCACACUACUAGAACGAUCUUUCAACUGUUUAGCAGAGGCAGCAUCAUGCAUGUAAAAAAAACCCUGACCCUUAGACAAGCACACAUCUGAGCCAUGCAUUCCCAAGGAAGAACGACCAUACAAGAAGCUUGCAAAUGACCAGAUCUCCCACAACGCUCACACACAAGAGAAGGACAUCGGGCAGAAAGAUGAGCAGUCAAUUUGCAGUGACUACAAGGAACAAUGUUACCGGGAUUGGAGCGAUUCGUCUCCGAGCGCCCCCCUUGAGCAGAUCUGUUAUCCUGGUCGCCCAUCGCCGCCAGCGCCCAACGAUCUGGCUGCGUCCCCACACGAACACCUUGCGUCGCCGCCGCCACCUCCCAGCGACCAGCCGCAGCCGAUCCACCAUAAGUCGAAGAAGACUGCAGUUCUGGCGAGUUGCGUUUCCAGACGUUCGGCCGCGCUCGACCCCGAUCCUGGCGCCCAGCACCACGCCCUUGACGACUCGCGCCGAAACCAUCAAGGUGAUGGCCCCAGUUGAAACGGGCGCUCUGAUCCGCCAUGGGUGCCGGGUCUCUCACCACCUGAGCAAAAGAUCUGGAAUCCCCCGCUACCUUGCCCCGCCACCACCCAAAGGAAUUGCCUCGAGGACAAGCAGGAGACGAAACCCUAGAUCUAGACCAAAAAUGAUGUAAACAAGCAUCAAGAUCGGACUCACCGAGGGGAAAAGUAGAGGCAACUCCACUCGGAGACCCCACUGGGUCCCUUCUGGCAGAAGCAAAACCACCAUUGAUCACAUGAGGAAUGGUAGAUCCCGCCGCCACACGUCCUGUAGACCCCGGCGCCGCCCCAAGCACGCCUGGAUCCUUUGUACGUGGCGGAAUCGCACCAAGGACAAGAACCUCAGGUGCACACCCACUCGAGGGAUCCGCCCUCCCGUGUACCACGUAGCAGGGAAGCGUGACCGACUGCCCAUGGAACUGGAACCCCGGUCGAGAAGAGCGAUCGAUGAUACACUCGCGAUCAUCCCGUAGAAGGAGAGUCUGAUCCCCAACGCUAUACUCCAAGCUCUCGUGAAGGAUCCGAAGCCGAGAGGACGAUAGCACCGUCGAGAAAGUCACCGGCCACCGUGGAGAGAGAUGGGGAGCCGAGAAUGAGAACGUAGACGUGUCCAUCUCCUUGCCAACCUCGGAAUGGAACCUAGAUUUUAGAUUUUUACUUAAAAGUCAGACAACUUCAAGUAUUAUUACAUUUUUGACCAGCCUCGACGUUUGGUCACUGUAGACCGUGCCGUGUGGUUGUCUGCGAAAGGAGAUUUCACAACGACAGGCAACAAACGCGCAUUCGUCGCCUAUUGAAGUUGACACUAGUCGUUCAGUGCUGCGGCGGCGGUCUCCGUUCAGGUCUGGUUCGCUGGCUCAAACAAAAAACGAGCCCCACUCCCAUCAAGGUUUUCGCAAAACAACGGCUAAGAAACGAUGUGCCGCCUUCUUUCGUACCCUUGUCAACUUGCUGGAGUCAUCUAGUAGGUGCCUGGAUCGAAUUCUUUAGGAAUAAAUAUACCUUACCUAUCUUUCCACGUGAUUAACUCACGAGACGAUGUGCCGGUGAUUGUCUUGUCGACGCUUUGUGGUGCUCCGUUCGAAUUCUAUAGGAAUUGUCGUCGCCACCUACACGCCUACACUCCACAGUCCUGACCGUUGUAUAUAAACACACCGGAGCUGGUAGUCCAACGCCUCGUAUCAUCCAAACCAAUCCAACGUCCCCUAGUUCUUUCUACCCAGCGCGCGCUAAAAUUCUCAAAGAAUAGUUUGUCCCCGGUCCUUUCCAAUUUCCACCCCACUUUUGAUCGAGCCCAGUAUCCAUGUGUGGCGGUGCCAUCAUCUACGACUACAUCCCGGCGCCCCGCCGGGUGUCGGCCGCGGACUUCUGGCCCGACGCCGACGACUCCGACGCCCACAGCACCGCCCCCCACAAAGGUACGCACGCCACGCCUACAAUUUCCUACGGAGUAUAAGAAGUAGGAAUUUCCGUUGCCAGCUGAUAGGACUGAAUGAGUGGUGUGCAUUUGCAGCGCGGCGCGCGAAGCGGGAGAAGAGGAACCAGUACCGCGGCAUCCGGCAGCGGCCGUGGGGUAAGUGGGCGGCGGAGAUCCGCGACCCCGUCAAGGGCGUCCGCGUCUGGCUCGGCACCUACCCCACCGCCGAGGCCGCCGCGCGCGCCUACGACCGCGCCGCGCGCCGCAUCAGGGGCGCCAAGGCCAAGGUCAACUUUCCCAACGAGGAGCUCCUCCUUGCCUCUUCGCCGGCCACGGCGGCGGCGGCGGCUCCGCCGGCCGUGCUUUCCUCGUUCAAGAAGGAGGAGGACGCGGAGUUCGGGUCCGUGGCGUGCUCCGGCGAGGCCAAGGAGCUGUCCGAGGAGCUGAUGGCGUACGAGAACUACAUGAGCUUUCUUGGCGUCCCCUACAUGCAGGGCGGGGAUACGGCAGCCCCUGCCGCCGAGGAGGCGCCGGCGCCGGCGCCUGCCGCGCUAUGGAGCUUCGAGGACUACUAGUGGCAGAAAUCAGUGUCCAACUUCCUGUCGGUCGUGUUUAAUUUGUUCAAUUCAUUUUUUCAGUUUGUAACUGUGUUUGGAGUCCAAUGGCAAUUCGCUUGCUCCGUGUAACUGUGUAAGCAAAAUUUGCAAUUUAACUUGUUUGCCGUUCUGCAAGUAUUCGUCCUUUUCCAACGUGGAACCAACCAAUUGGUUUACAGCGAAUUGAUUUCAGAAGCUGGUAUCAAUGAUUUGGUACGAGAAAUCGUAGUAUCAUUGUACAUUUGCACUAGAUUCCCAAUUCCAGGUUACAGCGGGGUGCAGAUUUCAAACGUUAAAAUUUGAACAUUAUAUAUGGUCUAGAUAAUCAUGGCAAUCACAGACCGAAGCAAGAAAAUAAAAAACUCCACAUGGCAAAAAAAGACUUUGAGAAAACGUUUUUUUUAAGACUGAGAAAAAUAAUUUCUAAGUUGAUAUAUCUGACCCAUAAUUAAAUUAAUAUUCGUGCAAGACGUACAAAGAUGAGAAAUUUUUCACUGGAUGACUAUAAUUAUAAUUGUUGACUAAAAAUAAUCUCUCUGAAUUCAUAAUAAUUGUCUCAGAGAGAAUUAACUAUUUUGAAUUUAAACUAAGAAGUACUACAGUCCCUUGAAAAAAAAUCUAUCUUGAAAUAACUCACCGGACAAACCGAGCCGCUUUGUUGACUCGUUCGCCGCUCCGAGCAGAAGAGCCGCCGUUUUCACGCCCGUCGUUUUGCCGUUGUACUUCGGGUGUAUCGAGGCCAAGGUAGUACAGGAAGUACAGGUAUUGGCACGACACUUCUGACUCCUGUAGAGUUCUUUACCUGCAGCCUGCAGGUUGCAGCCGAAGGGAAACGUUUUUCUGUGGGCCGACGAUACCGGGGGCAGCUACUUGUUUCCGGGUCGCCGUGCAAGCCACAACAUCUACGGGGCCCUGCACCUAGCUUUCGCGCCGGCGGCCGCCAAGACCAAGAAAGAAAAGGCGAAGUUGCCAUCUCCUUGCACAUUUCAGCAGGGUUCCAAACUUGUCGUGCAAGUUCUAGAAUGCCUUUUUGGUUGCUGACUCCCCUAACAGACCGUUUGGUAACAAGAAUUCAUUUCAUCGGUAGGAAUGAAAUUAAAUCCAAUUUUUAAUAAGAUUCCAGUUGGUUGAAUUUGGAUUCCGGGUUCAAAAAUCAUGUUUGUCUACCACAUGAAAUCUGUAGAGUGAGAGACAACUUUAGGAAAUGAUGGCUUUUAGAGAGAAAUUGGGGUUAGUUACAGUGUAAUUCCAUGGAAUUUGAGAUCGGAUUCCUAUGGCCAAUUCCGUGCCACCUAAACAAGUUGGUUUCUGGAAUUCAAAAUGAAUUUCAUAAUUCUAUGCCUAAAUGAUGGGUGCCAAAGAUCAAAGCUUCGGCACUGACCGUAGUAUCCAUUACCACAGGUUUGGCAUUCAUGUGAUGCACAAGGCUUUUGACACUUGCAGAAAAUCAACUCCGCCUUUAUUUCGUAGGUGUGUAGACAUAUUCACAGGGUGCGAUCACACAGAUGCAGAAGAGAAGCAGAGUCACCCAUUAUUGGUUAAUAUAUAUUUGGGUUUGAGUGACUCCCUCUAUCUAGCAAUUUGUUUAUUAUACGCACAGAGUGCCUGCAACUCCGCAACUUCACAAAUUGACAGAACACACUUUUGCACCAGGUAUCUUACUUGAUCAUCGCAUGUGCAGCAAGAGCAGCUCUGGCUUCUCCACGAGGCUUUUCCAUUCAUUGCAAAACCUUGCCACCGUGGCACCAUCAACAACUCGGUGAUCAGCUCCAACAGUAACCUGCAUGGCAUAGCAUGGGAGAUCACAGUAAGUCCAAGUGCAAGUGGUGCAAGCCCGGUGCUAGGCAAAGUGUGUGCAAAUGAUCAUACAUUGAUUAUGGAGGAAGCGUAAACGUUUUCGCCUUCGUCAAAGCGAGGGAGCUUCUGAAUGCGGCCCAGAGCAAUGAUCGCAACUUCAGGAAGGUUGAGGACUGGGGAGCCGAACUUGCCGCCAAUGGCACCGAUGUUGCUUAGUGUUAUGGUUCCACCAGCAAUAUCUUCGGUGCUUAGUUUGUUGUGCAAUGCGAUCUCAUGUAAUCUUGACAAUUCUUUUGUGAUCUGAUGUAAUCAUGGAACAAAUUUAGGAACACAAGAACAAAAUCAACUAUGUCCAAAUGAAGAUGUGAUUGGAUGAACUUCAAGUUAUAUGGUGUCAAAUGAGUAAAGCAGAUGUGGUGCACCCGUACUUGUAUGCACCAUAACAUUUCUGGUCAAAUGAGUCACUUAUAAGUUCAUAGUCAAUCAUCUGAAGGAAAAAUAGUUUUCGUAGUUCGCAUAACAUCAAAUCUUUCAAGGUUGGUCUAGGGUGUUAUCUCAACAACAUGAACAUUAAUUAGUACUUUGAGCAAACGAAUUCAUCAUGAAGUUAGUAAGAAAAGAAAGUUGCUGCUGACCUCCAAUAUUGAAAGUGACUGAACUUUCUUGAUGUAUGGCACCACUAAUCCAUGUGCUGUAGCCAUAGCUACCCCAAUGUUGUGGGAUCCUAGACAAAUAAAUAACCAGUGUCAUGAAAUCUUCAGUACAAAAGCCGCCUUGCAUAGACAUAGUGAGGCAACGUUGUCUUUAUAUGUCUUCAGUACAAAAGCCGCCUUGCAUAGAUAUAGUGAGACAGCGUUGUCUUUAUAUGAUGCACUAUGUACGUAAAUGCAAAAUUCUUAAUUAAAAAUUACAUUCCCUAUCUUCUUGCAUACAUACAAAAUGAAAACUGGGGUGUAAGACAGCAACUCGUGAAACAGUAAACUCAAAUGAGUGACCAUUUCCCACUCAACUUAGAAAUAGUUAUUUCUCAACUGAUAUUUGUCAAUGGUGAUCUUCAUAUCCCUUUGUGCCAACAUGGAUCUUAAUAAUCAGAUCAGAUGGUUCUUAGCGUGAACUUAGAAAUAGUAAUUUCUCAGUUGCAUAAGAUACAGCAAAACCACAAAGUCAAUGGUUGCAUACCUUUAAAAACAACUUCAUUUGUUUCCUCAAUGAAAGAGCUGUUCAACAAAGGGUAUUUACUCAGUGCCAUAGAAAGAGACUUUAUGAGGAAUGGAAGGAAGGUAUGCUUGAUAUUAUGAUCUUUAUUCUCCUUUUGGAAUGAUGCCUUAAGUUUUAUAAGAGCAUCACAGUUUAUUUCCUCCAGAUAAUGAAAAUGUGGUACUUUUGCAGCCAGGCUCAUUGAUUUCACCAUUGAUCUCUGAUAUCCUCUGUAGAAAGACAUGUUUUCAUUAUAGACUGGAGUGGUCAUGUAUGUUACCAACCCAUAUCAAAGAAGGCUCUCACGAAAUAUUGUAAUACCUGAGAGGAACUCUCUUAUCUUCAUAACACUGAGCAUCAAGUAAUGAUUUUCCUCCCUCCAGUAACUCAACUUGACCAACAUUUUCUUUCAAUGCUGAUGGUUUCUCCUGGCAAAGACUCUUGUUGGCAGCGUAAUUCAACACAUCUUCUUUCAAAACUCUCCCAUCUUUUCCUGUACCCUGAAUAUCAUUUAUGUUGAGCCCAUACUGCUUAACUAGAUGCCUGACAGCUGGUGUAGAGAGGGUUCCAUGAGGAGCAUUGCCUUCACCUACAGGACUUGCACUAUCCAUUCCAAGUGACACAUCAGGGGAUGAAGCCAUACUAUCAUGAGAUACAACUUGACUGUCACCCACAAUCAUCUUCAAUAAAGUUUCUCCAACCUAAGGAGCGCAGAUUGGAAUCAGACAAUUAAGAAGAAUGAGGUAAAUAAAUCUAUUGAGACUGAAAGAAUUACAAGAGAUCAUAACACAGUCUUGCACAAUAUUCUAGGAGGUGUAUGAAAAUAAACCAGGGAAAAUUAUAACAGUUAUGACAAGUAUCCCAAAGCUACCUUCACUAUGUCACCAGGGGCGAAGUGAACUUGAUGUACGGUUCCCUUGAAACGGCUUGUUAUUUCAAUAGUUGCUUUGUCGCUCUGUACUUCACAGAGCUGCUGAAAUUCAUCUACUUGAUCACCCUGCCAAAUGAGCAAGUAAAAAAAACUCCAGUUAGAGAUGAAAGAAAGAAAAACAAAUACAAAAGAGGCAAGAUUGAUUUUGAAUUGAGUAGCACAUUCCUCAGAUCAUAGGCAGCAAUAUCUCAGUAGUUAUUCCUGAAUUUGUAAUCACGUUGGCUUUUAUUGGGCUUUGUAACUUUAGUUACCAAGGUUAGCAACAUAGAUCAGAAUGAGACUUCAGUGAGCCUCCCAAUGAGAAAGAGAUAGUUUCAAAUAAUGAUUCAUGUGUCAUAGCCUCAUAGGGCAGAACACUCAGCAUGCUAAUAGUAAAUCAGCUGGGACGGAAUCAAGAUUCCAUGCAGGGCCAGAAGACCACUUCUUACAAUGACACAGGCUUGUGAUUCGUGAAUCCGGCUCAAAACAUUGACUGGCUGUCUUAUUAUGUUGGUAUUCACUCAGGAAGUAAUCAAGUAACUUCUGUACUAGAAACCAACAUUCAUAUUGCAAAAUAUAUAGUACUAGAUUACUGAUGACUGAAUGUCUUGUUACAGUUUCAAGUCAUAGUCUUAUGUACCAUGUAAAAAACAUCAGUGAGGAACCAGAUUAUGCAAGUUCUACUGCUGGUAACUCAAGCAAUGAGCGUUACAAGAACCAAUGCCUAACAUGUACAAGGUAUAGCAUCAUAAUUUUCCCCAUCCGGCCUGUCUCACCGACAGGUGACACCAUAACCCACAUGUCAGCGACAUAUGGCGGAGCAAGUGCAAAGUACAGUGUGGCAUGUGAUCAAAAUCUGCCAGCAUUGCACAGAUCGAAGUAUUGGACCCGAUGGUUAAACGUCGACCCCAAUCCAUUCGAACGCAUCAAAUAUUUCACGAGGAAUGCAGGAUCAGGAACAAACAACUGCACCACAACAUGAUCAAACAAACUAGUUCACCAAUAACCAAGUCGUAUGCCGCCCCGAUUCCCUCAUAGCACAAUUCUAUGUUGAAGGAAGCGGCUUGAGAGUUGAGACUCACCUCGCUGACGAACCAGCGGAGCAGCUCGCACUCGGCGAUCCCUUCCCCCGUUUGCGCCAAAGGAACAUCGACCAGCUCAGCCGCCUCCCCCGCCGGCACCGGCGCCGCGGAGGCAUCGCUCGCGAACCACCUGCUCCUCCCGCCAACUGCACGCCGCCACUGCACGGCUCCAGUGCCAAGUCGGGAAGAUCAAGACCACACGCGCAAAUGAGUUGAGGAAACGGUGAGGAAGGGCCCCGCAGACUUACGUCAUCGUCGAGGAGCCGCACGUACGAGGACGAGGAGGAAGAGGCGGCGGCGGCGGCGGCGGCGAAGCGGAGUGGGGAGAGGGGAAGGAGGAGACGGCGGAGCGGCGGCGAGGGCGUGGCGGGUGCCACCGGCGGAUGCGGCGGCGGGGGCGGCGUUGUGGGACGCGGGAGCACGGGGAAGGGGCGGCGGCUGGAGCGGGAGGCGAGCCGGCUCCAGGCCAUGUUUGGGUGGGGAAGCUGCCAGCUGCUUCCUUGUCUCGUCUGUGGAGGAAAGCUCUACUAGCUAGCCAGCUGCUUCCUUGUCUCGUCUGCUAGUGCUACGGCUGCAUCGGGGUUUGGAGUGUACAUAGCAGUGGUGGCGGACCGGUGGUGGCUGGAAGCGGAGGAGGAAGAGGAGUGCGGGGCACUGGCACUGCAAAAAUGCGAAGAGGCUAUCAUCAUCAUCGAGGAGUUCCCAACGCCUCCGCGCUUCGUGAAAAACAUGUCUUCUUUCUUUAUAAAUUCUUUUUCCAAGACAGGCGAACAGAUAGGAGUGCGCUGAGGUGGCAGCAAGAUCCAUGUUUUCUUUUUCAAAAGAUGUCGUAGGAAAAAAUGCUAUGGUAAGAAUGAGGUAAAAUCAGAGUGAGUUUUUAAGUUGUGAAGUACUAGUACCAGAGGAGUGAGGUUGGAGCGAAACCGAAAUAAACUAAUCCGUAUUAAUAAAAUCUGAAAUGUUCAAAUUUUGCUAAAAUUUCAUUAUUUCAUUAAACUCCCGUUGAACUACUAUUUCACAGCCAUUAAAGUUGGCCCGCAUACUUGUUCACUUUUUCAGUGAUCAGCACAGUAGAAACCUUGCGAAUUGUGAAGUCAAGUAUCUUUGCUAUGUUUAGUUGGACCAUUUAGUGGUAGAUUUUCUUACUACUUCAAAUUUUGAACUUAAAUAAUACAUUGUUCAAACAUACUCCCUCCGAUUCUAAAUUGUUGUCGAAAUACUUCCUGUAUCUAGACGCUUUUUAAGAAUAGACACUUUCAUAUUUGGGCAAAUUUGAGUCAAGAAUUUAGAAUGAGGAGUAUCAUUUUGUUCAGUUAGACUCGUACGACACUAUCUCUGAUCAUGUGGUCACUCAAACGGUUAACUGGAUGAAGCUCAAGACAAGUUGGCACAUCCACUUGAGGGAAAUCUGCUGUUGUGCUUGGCGAAGUAUCCGGUGAAAACUCUCGUUCGGUGCAAACUUCAUAAAAAACAUGUUUAGAAGUAUCAAAAAAAUUCUAAAAAAAUAACAUAUGUUGCUACUGUGAUGUUCUACAAACCUGCAAAAUUUCAAGCUCAAAAUCAAAAGCAUUUGGGAGAAAUUAAAAAGAGAAAUUUACAAUAAAUAGUGUCGAACAUUGAAAAACCACUGUUCAUGCAGAAUUUGUCUUUUUCGCUGCUACCAAACGAAAUUGAGUUUGGACUUGAAAUUUUACACAUAUAUAAAACAUCACUUUUCUAACAUAUGAGAUUUUUUUGAGAUUUUUUUGAACUUUUUUCGAUGAAAUUUUCACAGUUUGCACCGUAGAGGUGGUUUUCACCGGAUACUUCGCCGUUGUGCUUUCACAUAUUGUUAAAUCUUUAGGUUACCCACUUAAGCGAAAUUUGCUGUUGUGUUACAUCGUUCUACGUUUGUAGGUUUAACAAAUGUCAAGUUUGUAGGUCUAACAAAUGUCUACAAGAAGACAUGUCAAUGUUUGACGCCAGCGAACUGGCAGAGUUGCCACAAUCCCAUAGAUAACAUUGUAGAUAAACAUCAAUAAAGCCCAUUUCUGUUUUUACAGCCUCACAAAAACAGAAGCAGAGUUUUCUUCUUAACUGUCAUGGGUAAAAGUGCAAGUGAUCAGUGACACAGUGCCAGUGUUGUACAAGGAUCUCAGCAGCAGCAUAGUACCAACUAGAGCGCUCAGCACAAUAUUCUAUAACUCAUGUUUCGCCUAAACCCAGACUUCUCUCCUGUGAAUGCAGCUGUUGGCUAAUUAUCUGUUUAAACGACACAUGACGCGCCUAGUUACAUUUCCAUACAACUGUGCCACAUAUUCUGCUUCCCUGGUGGAUUCCACCUAUUCGAGAUGUUCCAUCUGUCAAAAGACAUAUUGUUAGUAUAUCAAAGGUGAGGUUAGAAAAAUAAACUAUAUAUACCCAAAGGUAUGUACCCAAAAAAUGGAACUUUCAAAAAUUAUAUCCAAAUUUCCUUUGAAUUCGUGCAUUUGAAAAUAUGGUGACUGAGCACCAUGGGGCAUCUACCAUUUUGACCUAUAUCUUCUAUUAUGAUAACUUAAUGAAACAGUUUAAUUAUUCCUAUUUAAAAAGGAAAUGAGAGGGAGACAGGGAAAAGUAGAGUACCUUCCACAGUCCAUCAUUCAGAUAGUGCAUGUUGUCAACUCCAAUUCCUUUGUUGAUGGUGCUUCUACAAAAGUUAAGGAUUUCAGGAGCAGCAUUACAAGAGUCAAAUGUAUACCCUACUUGUCAGUGACACAUAACAGUAGGAUUGAAUAUGACUGAAAUCUCAGAGAACUAUUGAAGAGCAAGCAAAGAGUGCAAGGUUCACACUUAACAAGUACUCCCUCCGUUCCAUAAUUCUUGUCGAAAUAUUACAUGUAUCUAGACACCUUUUAGGAAUAGAUACAUCCAUUUUUUUGACAAAUUUGAGACAAGAAUUAUGGAACAGAGGGAGUAACUUGCAGACUGAGAAGCAUCAUUAGUAACUAAUCCAUCAAAACAGAACUUACAUGUCUUUCGCUGACAUCUUUGUAAAUCCAAUUGCCAGUGCAUGUUGUUUGCCUUCAGCCAUUAUAGCCUGACAAUUAAAAUUUUGAACAGAUAAAAAAUUGAGUCUGGUGGUUAGCAUGCUCAGGGGAGGGAAGCUUGUUCAUCAAUUUAAUGUAUAUAUGAUGCAUAUAAUAAGCUACUAGUAAAAACACUAUCAUAUUUAGCUAUUACAGGGUACACUAAUCUGCAUGUUGUUAACUACAACUUCCUAAUCAUGUAGAUGAGAGUCAUUCUUACAGUAUCUAUAGAUGGAUCAAUUAGCAAGUCAGAAGCAAUUCUUUUACCACUGGUGUUUCCUCCUCGACUUCCUUGUCCAAGACCCCGCCAGGUGAUGUCAGUCCAGGGCACAUUAUGUUUGCACCAGAGAGAACAAACUUGAUAGCACCUCUAUCCACUUGGAAUUUCUUCAUGAUAUCAGGAUCUGAUCAUUGGCAAGCAUAAGUGAGCAUGAAAUAGGGAGAUAUUUUGCAUUAUCACAUAACUUGAAUAAUUUCCAUUCCGGGUGAUAUGCUUGAACAGGUAAAAUUUAAGAAUGAUGGCGCACAAGUCUUUAACAGCUGAACAUGUCCAAACAUAUUUGGGGAAAAAACAAUACCACACAUAAUGUUGGAGAACAUAGGGGACAAACAGAUGCAGCGAUGACAUGCCAGGAAAAUUGAGAGAAGAAAAUUACACUGAUGAAGAAGGCGCAGGGUUGGCAUGUAAGGUCCAUCACGGAUGUUGAAAAACAGUGGGACAUUAUUCACCACCACAAGAUUCAGAUGAUUUUGGCUAAGGAAACAAACAAACAGUGAUUAGAGCACUUUAAAAUGCCGCAAUCUUGCAAAUAAAAGCAAAUAAUUCUUUGCUUAUUAAUGUAAUUUUACCAACAAUUACAUGCACCUUUACGUAUUCUCAAGUACAAAGAAUUAGGAAAAAAAGGAAAUAGCCAAAUUGUAACUUUCAGUACGUAAAAGAAAAGAAUACACAUAAAGACAGACUAUCAAGCAAGUUGAACCAGAAAGAUGGAACUACUGACCAUUUAACAACAAUCAUAGGCGACUUCUUUGGAAGCAUGUCAUCAAGCAAAGGUUCAAGGGCAGGAUACUGCAGUAAACUUAAUUUCAGUAUAGCUAAAUAGAAGAGAGCAGAAUUUGGAACUAAAAUGAAAGAGAAAUGUAGCGCUAUGUAGAUUCUUUGACGUAACACAACCUCAUCAGCAAUACUUUGUCGAAUCCUUCGCUGUACAGAAGCCUUAACUUGAUUUUGUCCAGAUAUAUCUUCAGAAGAGAAUCUAGGGAUAAAAAAGAGCAAGGUAUUGUUAUUGUGAAGGUACAAGAUUUUGUACAGAAUACGAUGAGCCAAUGACCAUUGGAGCCAUGAAUCAUCUGCACAUAAUGUGUAUAAUCAAAAGGUAUUCAAUAGUUUUAAGGAAAACCAUGGUACUAGGUUACUGAAGAAAAAUUCCUUGUACAAUAUCGACAUAACCCAUAUAGAUGACACAUAAUAAUGCAAUUAUAAGUGAAAGACCUCAAUUAAGCAGCCAUUAACGUCAUAUGCUUACACAAUAUAGAAAUAAAUUUGUAAAAGUCAACCAUCGAGAUGGUACGGUGGAGACAAAGCUUAAAUUUGCUAAAGAAGCACAUGUAGGUUGCCUACUAUGAUCAUAGAAGGCCUGAUAGUUCCAGCAAUGAUUUCAGUCAACCUAAAGAGGAAAAACAAUCACAUGUCCUUAUUCUAGGCCCAACUCAAAUGUCAACAGGACCACACUAUAACAUCAUUUCAAACUGAUUCAAAUAUACACAUUGUCAGAAAUAUUGGCAUACAAAGAUAACACCAAACAAGUAAAAAAUAAACAGCUCUGCAGCUACAUUGAUGGAAAAUUUGAUUGGCAUUAAAAAUGGCAAUGUACUGCAAGUACUUCCUCCAUCCCAUAAUACGAGGCACGCACGUAUUUCUAAAUCAUCAAUUUGAUUAAUUAAAUAUGUAUAUUUCUUAACAAAAUGUACUCCCUCCAUCCAACAAAAGAUGUCUUAACUUUGACUAAAUUUGAAUGUAUCUAUACACUAAGUCAUGUCUAGAUACAUCCAAUUUUUGACAAACUUGAGACAUCUUUUGUUGGACGGAGGGAGUACAUCAUUAGAUUCGUUAUCGAAAAAACUUUCUAAUGAUAUUUUUUUUACUAUUUAAUUAUAUUUAGUUAGCUAUAUUGAUGAUCUAGGAAUGCGUGUGUGCCUCAUAUUAUUGGAGGAGGGAGUAGAAACUAUGGCAUCAUUUGGCAUUGAGAUGCGUAACAAUCUCAUUUGGAAUUGAGAUAGGUAACAAUCUUUUAUGGUUGAACUGCCUUUACACGUUUUAUUUAUUUAUUUUUAGAUAAUUUUACAUAUUUAGUUGGUUGCCUACCUGUGCGUUCUCUUAAUCAAAUAAAAAACAUAUCUGUUAUUUGCUUCCAACAAAUAUGAGAUGGAAAUGGCAUGGAUAAUAGAAUUUAUUAACUUUCAUUUGUGAAACAGGAAUAUACUCUUCACCGCAUCUUUCCCACAGUAGCUUAGUGCAGCACAGUGACAAGGUGAGCUAAUAGAACCAUAUAUACGAAAACCACUUGCAAAUGUGGACACUCCAGUCAUGCCACUCUAAAUAAGAUGGUAAGCUUAUGCCGCAGAAGCAUACAUAAUUCAAUUAUUCUUGUUAAAUGGUUCAAGAGAAGUGACUGUACAUCUCCUCCACAUAAGCAUAGUGCACCACAGCAAAACAAUGACAAAGUGAUCCUAAAAGUACAUAUACUAAUUACUAAAACAACUCACAAACCAGACACUCCAGUAGUCCAGUAACAUCACUUUUAAAUAAGAAAGUUAGUUUAUGCCAAGGGAGCAUAAAUAAUUCAAUUAUUCUUGUUAAGUGGUUUGAUUAAGAGAAGUGACUAAACAUCUUUUCCACAGAAGGUUAGCAGAGCACAGAACAAUAAUGACAAAGUGAGCGUAAAAGAAGUACAUAUACGAAAACCCCUACCAAACCUGACAGUCCGGUCAUGCCACUCUGAAAUAAGACAGUAAGUUAUGACGCAGAAGCAUAAGUAAUUAAAUUAUACUCCCUCCGAUCCAUAAUAAGUGUCUCAGAUUUAGUACAAAGUUGUACUAGCACUAAAUCUGAGACACUCAUUAUAGAUCGGGAGUACAUCUUUUCCACAGAAGCUUAGUGCAGCACAGCCCAACAAUGGCAAAGCGAGCCUAAAAGUACAUAUACGAAAACUACUCAUAACCUGGACACUCCAGUCAUGCCACUCUAAAAUAAGAUAGUCAGUUUAUGCCGCCGGAGAAUAUAUAAUUCAGUCAUUCUUGUCAAAUGGUUCGACUAAGAGAAGUGACUAUAUUGCUUAAAAAUACCACUCCAACAAACAAAUCCUACUCAAUGAGGCAGUGCGACCAUAAGAGAUGCCCAGCAACCAAAGCAUGAAAUAUUUCCUAGUCAUGCAUGUGAGUACCAUGAGUAAUGGCACGAUGCGCUCCAGUGGCAUGUGUCACAAGCUAGUGCAGUGUGCAGUAGGGCGGCACUUGACCAGGUGAUGCAUCAAGGUGAUUAGCAUGAGAAUGAGCAGUGGUAACUAUUGCCCAAAACAUAAAUUUGGAUCAUACCCUUCUGAAAUACUCCCUCCGUCCAACAAAGGAUGUCUCAACUUUGACCAAAUUUGAAUGCAUCUAUACACUAAGUCAUGUCUAGAUACAUCCAAAUUUUGACAAACUUGAGACAUCUUUUGUUGGACGGAGGGAGUAUAGAAUUUACUGGUAAGUGGUAACUAUUGCCCAAGGUGCCUAGCAUGAGAAUGAGCAGUGGUUCUCUGACUUAAAUCUGCAUAUUAAAAAAAAUUGACUACUUCAUGCUUGAGGCAGCAAUGGUGCCUCCGAAUAUAAUGUUUAAUCAGCAACUCCUCUUUAGUUAGUCCUACAAUAGACACCAUUUCAUUGGGGUCAAGUGCAUCAAGCUCCUUCACUUUUCCAGUCGUGGACAUAACUUGUUGCUGAAACUUUGUAGCUUGAAUAAAGCCAGUUCAACAUAGAUAUAACUCAAGCACAAACUUUUUUGUAGCUUGUAUAAACUCAUUGUCCCAAUAGCCAAUAGUCAUGAGCUACAAUGGUACCAGUCUUGUACUCAAUAUCCUAGGAAGGUAAGUUCAACCACAAACUGCAUCUAUGGCACCACUAUGAACGUCAAUCUCAUCAUCGCAUCUACGCAUAAACAGCUGUACCACCCCUAAGCUGAAUCUCUGACGAACGGUUGGUGCCUAGUAAACUGUACAGCACAGGUACCACAGAACAACUAAUGCCACAUUGAAAAGCAUCAUCACCUUCCAACACAUGACUCGUUCGUGGUUCAUCAAGAAGCUUCAUCCACCGAAAGUACGCUAAACAGCCAAAGGCGCUAGCAUCGUCUACACGUAUCCCCUUAAAAAGGAGCGAGGAAAACAGAGAUCAUCGCUCCGUGCUGUACCCACUGCCAGUUUCAAGAACGCAAAUCGUACGCAUCGACUCAGCAGCAAAAAGGAACACACAGAUUGGUCUCGUUACGCAUAGCAAUCCGACGAUUUGUCGUGGUUGGACGAAGUUAGAGUGCCAAAUUAUGACAGAUCUAGUUAUCAGACAAGAUAUUGGCGUGGGGGAAUUGGGGAGACGGAGAUUUGAGCACUCACUUCUUGAACAUGGUGUGGAGAUUUCUUCAGCCUUUCGCCCUUUCCUCGUUCGGCGUUGGGAGGGCAGCAGACGAGGUAACCUAACUUAACCCCUGUGCAAUUGGGCCAUGAGUUAUCGUGGAUCAGGUAGCACUGUCCAAGAUUAACUCGCAGACAAAAUGGGCUGGCAUGUAACGUAAUAGGCCAAAGUUGGCCCAUAAAACGAUACGACCGGCACUAACCGACCAGAUUGGGUGAGAUGGCGGCGGAAGGUUGGGGUGACCUGAGCGUCGUGGUUUAUCACAUCAAUGCUUUGGAUUAUAAUUUUUAAAAACUACAAAGUACCUUCUAUAAUAAAAAAUUACAACAAAAUCUUUUGAAAACAUGUUCUCCGUGAUAUCCUUUUGCAACAUGAAAUUCUGUUAAUGCUUCAAUAUAGAGACUGCAAUAAGACUGCACAACAGCAUCGUUACUGCUAUCACUGCACGAACUUGAAUACUUUUAAAAGUUUCAAAAGUCACUUGAGUCGCUCAUCCAAAAAGAUGAGAAGUCAUGAGCGUUGAAUGUACUUGGGCCGGAAUGACCCUCUAAAUGUGUAGGUCGUCGAACCGCAAGAUCUUUAUCAGAACGCCAGAAAAGUAUUCCAAAAUUAUAAAAGAUAAAACCAACAAAAGCACCAUGACACACUAACAAAAACUCAACAGAUAUGUAUAAAUUGAUCUGCGAGUACACAAACCCAAGAUCCACAGGAUCGGGUAUACUAAACCCACGGGGAUUAAAAAAUCUCUGGCUCCACAGCAACGCCCGUUAAGACACUACCACAGCAGAGGAAGAUUCAAAAUACAUUUAUUCGCGACGGCAUCGCAACCUCCGUCAUUGUGUUGCCGAUCGGAACCGAACACUUUUGAAUACUCUUAGAAAGAAUCGAGGUUUCCCCCACCUCGCAGUGCCAAGACGGCGGCCGGAGCCGAGGGGAACGCUAAAUCUUAAGGUGACGGCUAGGUCAGAGCACCUGAGCGUCGUGGUUGUGGGUGAAGAGAACGAGAACUACUUGUGGAGUCGUGGUUGUGGGGCUGUGGGAUCGUCCGCUCGUGGCCUCUCUCUGGCAGCAGAGUGGGCUGGGCUAGGGAAUUAUGUUAGCUAGGUUUUUACUUGGGCCAAGAAUUAGGCUGGGCCGAAUUUCACUGGGUUGUUAUUAUGAACCGGGUAUACGGGUAUUCAGGGCCGAGUCUGGCACCGAAAAUUUCUCAUUUACAGACCCGCGUGUCUGAUUCUUUACCUGAACCGCAUGCUAAUCGGGUCUAGACCCGUCGGAUAUUGGGUACCCAUUGUCAUCCAUACUCGUGACUUCUGUUCUGUAUCGCCCACCGCGAUCACCGCGAGGUCGUGUUCAACCUCCGGUCGAGAUUUUUGCAAGGAACCUUCGCCCAAAUAGGUUAUGGUUUUUACUCUAUGAAAAAAAAGCAGGCUAGGGUUCCAACAUAGGGUUGGAGGUACCAUACCUGGGGAAGGGAGACGACAUGUGUGUAGAGGGUGGUCGUCAGCGAUGAGACGACAAUGCACAAGCGAGGCUACGAAAGGUGGCCUAUUGUUUAGGAUGGAUGGGGGCAACGUGGCACACAUCAACGAUGCGGUCAUGUUAAAUUGAAGAAUCGCACAUGUAAUCCGCUUUGCCUGUCAAAUUGAAGAAUCACACACACAACUUAUCAGGAUGAUAGUGCUCGGCUACUCGCAAAAAAAAACUUACAAGUGGGAUGGUGACAUUUACUUCUUCGGUGCAUUGGCAGAGACGAGGCGGAGAAGAUUCUACAAGAGACGCACCAUGGAGUUUGUGACGGCCAUCAAGGUGGAGCCAAGAUGUAUCACAACAUAAGGCUUGCUGGGUACUACUGGCCCGGCGUGAUGGCAGACUGUCUUCGGGUAGCCAAGUCAUGUCAUGGAUGCCAAAUCCAUGGUGAUUUCAAGCACCUACCGCCCGUACCUCUACACCCGACUGUUCCCUCUUGGCCCUUCGAUGCCUGAGGAAUCGACGUCAUUGGCCCUAUCGACCCUUCAUCUUCACAAGGACAUCGCUUAAUCCUUGCGGCAACGGACUACUUCUCCAAGUGGGUGGAGGCGGUUCCACUACGGGAGGUGAAGAGCGACAACGUCAUCAACUUUCUUGAGCAACACAUCAUAUAUCGCUUCGGAAUACCCCACCGCAUCACCUCUGACAAUGCCAAGGCCUUCAAGUCCAACAAGAUGCACAAGUUCAUGGCGAAGUACAAGAUCAAGUGGAAUUACUCCACCGGCUACUAUCCACAAGCCAACGGCGCGAUCAAAGCCUUCAACAAGACGCUGGGCAAGAUACUCAAGAAGACGGUGACAAGACAUAGAAGGGAGUGGCAUGACGGUCUCUUCGAGUCUCUAUGGGCGUACCGUGUUACGGUAUGACCACCCCAUACUCUCUCGUCUACGGGACUGAAGCAGUUUUACCCCUGGAGGUCCGGGUACCCUCUUUAAGGGUGGCCAUUCAAGAAGAACUCACCCAAGACGCACAUGUACAAUUGCGAUUCCAGGAGCUUGACGCCCUUGAAGAGGAGCGAUUGCAUGCUCUACAAGACUUGGAACUUUAUCGCCAGAAUAUGGUGAAGGCUUAUGAUAAGCUCGUCAAGCCACGAGUCUUCAGGAAGGGCGAGCUAGUUCUCGUACUCCGACGGCCCAUCGUCGUCACACACAAGACGAAGGGAAAAUUCGAGCCGAAGUGGGAAGGUCCAUACGUCAUUGAGCAAGUCUAUGACGGAGGCGCGUAUCAGCUGGUUGAUCCUCAAAGAGCCCGGCCUAUGCCACCGAUCAACGGAAGGUUCUUAAAGAAGUAUUUUGCUUGAAACCUUUAUUUUCGGGUUUUUUUUCUUCUUUCUCUCUCGCUUGUGAAUUGUUUUUUUUUGGUUGCCUAUAAAAUCCACGAUGCAUUCUCUAUUGCAUGAGUUGGAUUUUCCCGGUUUUCCUUUUGCAAAAAAAUAAAACAACGGACUGCAAAGUCCAACAAAAAAAAACGGCUUUCCCUGUCUCGCUCCAAGCUGUUGAUUGAAGAUAUUGCUACCUAAGGACUUGUCGGAGGGUGACACAAUGUGCCAGCAUGUUGCAAGUGGAGCGGCUCCUACACCCAAAAUGCACGACACGUAACAAGUGUAUGCUUCCAGAGGCAGCGGGGAUGAAUACUUGGGCACUUCUGCGCAGCAAGACUCCACGCCCCUCAUGUUCCCGGCGUGCUUUGAGGUCUCAGAGGCAUCACGCCCCAGGUAAAACCUUAGGAAGAAGAUCUGGUGCAUAGUCACUCGGCAACCUUGGGGCGUGCCACCAAAAGCUCCAGAUAGAGUGCCUGAGGGUAUCUAGUCCACAGAGGUGGGUGGCUGUCUUCCAAGUUCUGAAGGUGGGUCCCCGAGCAAGAGCAGAAGAAGAAGUUCCAAGAAAUGCAAGUAAUCCUCCAAAGAAUAAAGCAAAAAAAAAUCCCAAGAAAUUCAAGAAAAUCCUCGCAAGAGCAAAAAUCCUUGGCCCGUGAAGUCGGCCUGUUCAAGCAAUCCUCAAGAAAAAGAUAUCUCUCUAAAAGAGACAAGUCCAACAAUCCCGAGCAGUAUGGGAACCGCUGGAAAGAAGGCGGGAGGUAGCCACUUACCACCCCUCGAUCAAGGCAUGGAUUUUGUAUCAGCCGUUGUCCCAGAGCCAUGUACCCUCAUCUCACCUCGCCCAUGUCGACGGGGUCUUGAGGCACUGCGCAGGGGGCAUGAUUGAGUUGUGGGGUUUCUUGGUGUUAUGAUGGGCUAGAGUCUGAUUCUCUGCUGUCCCUUGGAAGCAUCUUUGAAGCACGGCAUCUCCAUACACGUACACUGAAGGAAAUACAGUUGUUGAGUUGCAAUCGUUAUGGUUCUUCAACGGUUCCCGAUGACUAAGUCCUUUGGUAGCUUUUCUGAUAUCACGCCUAUAGCUGGUGUGCAAAGGGAAAGCCAACAUUUUAAAAACUCAAAACCAAAAUUUUGUUUUUUGUUUUUCCCAAGUUUUGUUGCCUUUCGUUGCUUGGUCUUUCUAGCUCCAUGCAGCUACAGAGGACGAUUAUCCUGGUGUGGCCCAAUCUACACCAACAACAUGCAUCAUGCAAGCUGGCAAAGCUGCACCUGUGUGUCCAUGACGCGGCCGUGCAGCCGUCUCGUCGACCGGUUCACUUCACCAACAUACACCGGAUCUGGACGCCGGGAGCUCCGGAGCAGCACGCUCGUACGUCCAUGACGACCCGAUGGCAUGUCGGCGUCUCCUCUCCAACAACAAAAACGCUGGGGGCAGCACCGUUCCCUCGGUCAUACACAUCAUGCUGAUGGCUACCGGGCACGCUAUCUCCUACAACAAUGAAGAUGGCGGCAAGAACACCGCAUCAUCCUCAGUGAAGUGACGUGCUGAUGUCUUCCCGGCGCCUUCUACAACAACACUUCAAAUUUUGGGAGCAGUGCGGCGCGCCAGUGCGCCAAGCUGUGAAACCCUUUGAUCAAGUCGGCUGGCACCGCACUAUCUAAGGCGGUCGCGACUCGAUCGAUAAAAUUUUCUCCAAGACAUCGCAUGGCGUUUCGCGGUGGAUUGAAGGAGUAGGAUUGUCUUGUUGGCUGGCAUCGUUUUUACCCUGCGAUCGCAACAAGCUUUCCUGAACAAUGCAGAGGGAUAUGCCUGCACUAGUUAGCGUGCGACAAGUCAGCAUAGCCAUGCGACUUUCACGUCCAGGAUACGCUCGUUCGUCUCUGGAGCGAGUUUGGCGCGAUGGCAAGUCGUCUUCAAGCUGGAUGAUUCACUACCUUCGAUGGUCAAGCAUCGGCGUGCAUCCUCGGGCGUCGAGGACGUCAAGAGGUGGACACGCACGGAGGCCCGCUACUGAUGAAAACGGCAUCACGAUCACGGCCAUGCAUGCGCAGGCGUCGUCCAGGCCGUGUCUCCUCAGCGAACGCUUCUUCGUAACAUGCCACGAAGAUCUUGGUCACGUACGUCUACAUGCAGCCUUCUUUUCAAGGCUCAAAUUAUCGAUCAGAAGAAGGGCUGGCUUGGAUGGGCAUGUACGUGCGCUGCCAUGCACAAGCAUGUCUCGCUCGUUGUUUGCCGCAGAGGACAGCGCCACCUCAAGAUGAUGCAGUCGCCUGUCGCCUGGGCGACGCUAGUCGGUUUCUGCCAAACCUCCAGGGGCGCGUGUAAGCUGCGUAUGGUGUCUGCCGCGGUCGUCUCCAAGCUGUACCUGUUGCUGUUGCGCAUGCUCCAUUUUUUUUUUCUUUUGGAGUGGGAAUAAGCGAUGGCAACCUUACAUCGUGGAACAUGUACAUACGUGUUUCUGGAGAACAGAUCAAGCAUAUUAAAAAAAACAGAAAAAAAGAGAGGACAUAUUAAAAAAAAAAAAGAGGACAGAUGGACGUGUAUACAAGCACUGCCAUACAAUCAACCACAUGCAUGCAGGUGUUGAAGAAGCCAUUAUCAUUUAAUAAAUGGUGGGGUUCGAAGUACAAACGGAAGCAAGAUUAUACUGAAACUAAACUGAACUAAAUCACGUCAGACUUAAAAGAAGACGAAUCUAAUUCAAGCUAGAGCGGUGCUCCUCGCUAAGGGAGCCUAAUGAUGGAUGACGGCAUGAAGUAACCAGCGAUCUCACUAAGGAAGCUUGUAAGACAGGAUCAUGGCGACCUCUGGAAGGGGUUCACCCGUGGCACGAGAGUCGGAGUUUCCAUCUUCGUCGCAGCGGGUGAGAUAGGCGGCCGUCUCAUCACGGCGCCGGGCUAACGCCUCAACUUCCACUGAAGAGUUGCUAACAGCAUGGUCGUGGCCUUGAAGCUGAAGGGUGUAAAUUUCUCCCAUGCGAGCAAUAGUAGCUUCACGCUUCCGCGCUUCUGCCGCCAUCUUCUCGUGUGCCUCCGCGAUCUCUUGAUGUUUCUGUCGGAGGCUUGCUAUGUCAGCAACACGCGCCUCAAGGCGCUGAUGGUCGGCCGUAAGGCGACUGAGGAUGGCCGCGACCUCAUUUUGGGCGGUCUCAAGCUUUUCCAGCAUGGACCGUGCCUGCUCCCUUGUAGGAGUUGUCUCAUGCGGAGUGCUCGAACUGCUUGCACCCUGUACUGUAGACGAGACAUCAAGGCUCUUAGGUGGGUGAUGAGGGUGCCAAGAUCACUGGGGAUAUUCCCUUUGUAGGCAUCAUUCCAAGAAUUAAAAACACACUCUAUCAGCUCAAUAGUGUGCUGCUUGUCUAGAGGCUCCGCCUUUAGGGCCUCCUGAAUGUCUCCGAGAUCCGAUGGAAGGAAUUUCUGGGCUCGGCGCUCGAGGGCGUUCUUAGGGCCUCCUGAAUGUCUCCGAGAUCCGAUGGAAGGAAUUUCUGGGCUCGGCGCUCGAGGGCGUUCUUGCCUUCAGGAAGGAUGAGGCUCGGUGGUGUCCCGCUGAAAGAAGGGGAAGCUUUGCUGGAGAACGGACUAGCGCCAGACCACAACCACUGGAACCUCUCAAAGAAAACCUUCAGGUCUUUAACUUCGGGCGUUUGAUGGGUUGCUACUGCAUCAAUUGCUGUGACUGAAGUUGUAUCUAAAAAAAAAAGAAAGAAAAAAGAGAAAGUUAAUAAGGUACUCGUGCAUGCCAAUGUAAAAGAAGCGUGCAUGUAUGCAUAUGAAAGGAGGGACGAAGUGCAUGUACUCACCAUCAGAGUCUGGUUUCGGCUUCUUGUUGAUCGUGAGUGCGACGUCGGCAUCAGGCAUUGCGGCGGGACGUUUCUUGUCGGCAGAAGAUUCUAGAGUUGCGCAUGUAUCAGCUGGAGUUCUUGUGGCGACCAGCGUUGGAGCUGCAGGUGGGACCACAGCGCCACCUCCUGUGGCCUUUUCCUCUGCUAUCAUAUCCGACAGAAGCCUCUCCACGCCAUUGCUUAUUUGGACGUGAGGCAACACGGUCUCAAGAGGGUCCUGUACAAGAAAAAAAAAUUGAUUAGGUACGCGACUUGUGAGGAUUAAUAUAUGCAUAUACAUGAAAGGGCUUUGAACUUGCCUCCGGGUUGUCCAAAGGAGCGUCCGAGUCGACGGGAUGACGAUUUCGUCAGACUGAUUCGCGCCACGGUGAGGGCGCGUGCUGCGUGCUGCUUUGGGCGUUGAUUCGGGGAUCGUCAGUGGCGACGGCGGUGGCGACAACCUUCGCCAGGCCGACAAAUUUGCAUGCUUGCCUUCGUUCCUGCUUGGAGGCGGAGGAGGUGAAUCUCUGGCCUUGCCCUUGCCCUUGUCCGGAGAGGAUCCACGUGCGUCAAUAUGGCGUCCUCUGUUGGUGUCACGACCGAAGUAAUCUGACUUCCGUGAUGGAGAAGACUUGUUGUACUUUCCCAUCUCCGCUACCUGUGGACACACACACAAAAAAAGAGCAGGCCGAGGCCUCCUCCAAGUGAAGUAUUCGGAUGGUCUUGUGCGAUACCGGCAGUCGGCCGAGCCGCCGCGCUGGUGCUUCGGAUCUUCUCAAACGGGAGUAUGGAACACCAAUCUUGCAAAAGAUAAAUAAGGCUAGUUGCAUGCUACUACGUACCUGGGUUGGUUAAUGGAGGAUGGCUAUCUGCUAGGAGUCGCCGUGAAGUGAAGCAGGUACGUGCUAGCUGCCACGGGGGGAUUAUAUAGUCCAGCUAGCAGGUACAACGGCCGAGAGAAUCCAGCAGUUAAAAGUGGUUGCGGAUGUCAAGAGAUCGAGAUGGUUGCAAGUAUUCAAACUGCCGCCGGAAUAAAAUCUUUCUCACCAAGAUAAGUCCAAUCGUUUCACGCUUAAUCUUACUUGGUGAGGGGGCAUUUUGUUCGAUGGAUUUUUGUUCAUUGAAAAUUGGUGAGUUUGAAGUAUAAGCCAUAUGAACGUACGUACGUAUAUGGUACUGGUUGAGAAGUAGCAUGCAUGCAUGCUCUCAUUUUUGAUGCGUACUUGCAUGGAGGUAUCAGCUAGCUAAGGAUCAAUUGAUUAGUGUGUUCUUGCACGUAUUGAUUGAUCUGUAUCGUAGUAUUAAUCACCUCAAGCAAACUCAAGAAAAAAAGCCAGAGCUGCAUGUGCAUGCUGUACGUACAAACACGUACGCGUAGCCAGCUAUGGAGAAGUUUAUGUACGAUCGUAUACGGCUGGAGGACUUGUACAUACCUGCCGUAUUUGUACACGUACAUGCAGUGAUAUGUGUCGUGUUGUUGCUCAUCUAUCUCAACGGCCGGCCAGCUAGCGCCAAUCCAACAAAGAAGAGAUAUCCAUGCACCAGCCGACAGAAGAGAUAAGCCCAUCCUGAGGAUUAUUCAGGUCGCCGGUAGAAGAGAUAUCAAUGGUGAGGAUCCUGGCUGACCCCCUCUCUCUCGUCCUCUCUCCCUCUCUCUCUCUCUCGUCCUCUCUCUCUCUCCCCAACAUCUCUUCCCUGCACGACUGGAGUUGCGGCGGAGGCGACGGUCGCAUGGCCGGAGUUACCGGCAAGCAGCCCAAAGGUUUCCCCAUUGCUGUGCACUGAAGAUUGGCGUCACUGCCCUUCGUCGAGCUCGUCAGCGGGUGGCCCGCGGCAUUUCGGCGUCAUGGAGGAUGGAGCUCGCCAUCAGCUGCAGCCUGUCACCGUCAACAACAACACGACGUCGGCAUCACGGAGGAUGGAGCUCGCCAACAGCUGCUGCCCGUCGCCAUCAACAACAACAGGACGUCGACACCAUGGUGGAUGGAGCUAGACGCUCGGUGGAGACAUCACCAUGUCACCUGUGGCAUCGGGGCCAGGCUUCGCCAACAUGCAAACCGCCAACGCUACCGCACGUGGACAUGGGAGCUAGCUAAGCCCACACCCAUACGUCAUCAAGCUGGGCGGAGGAAGGGUUCAUCGGCAGGCACGUCAUCAAGGGCCGUGGCAGAUGGAGCUCGUCAUCAUGCUCAGCGGACUUGCCGGGCGUGCAGUCCCUAAGGCGUCGCGUGAAGACGACGAGGUGCUACACCCAUUACUUUGCGGUUCGACCAAGACGAGAAGGCGCAUCGACACCUAUGAUGACCGCCGUGUCAACUCGGCGUCCAACUGAAGGUGCCAUCGCCGGCUGCGCGAACCACGCCGACAAGUGCGCGUGCUGGUUUUAAAUCGGUGCCAGUCUCCACCAAUCACAUACUCUCAUGGGACACCCGUCACCUACCCGAUGAAGCUGCUGAUCGUCAAGAAGUCCAAGCGAAGAGGGCCCCUGCUAAUUGUAACAUCCCAAUUUUUCAAAACUCUUCAUAUGCACUGCAUAUCAUGAGCAUCAUGUCACCCUUGCAUUUGAUCACUUUCAAAACCCUAAAAUUUGCCUAGAAAACUUUUCUGCAAAAAUGCUUUUAUUUGAUUUUGGGCUUUGAUCUUGCUCUUGAGUAUUUGCAUUUUAACCCACGAGGGUAUUGUGAUAAAAAGAGAUUUAGUGCAUAUAUAAAGCUAUCCCAUAAGUUGGCUUUUGAAAUUAUUUUGAAACAUAAUUUGCUUCGAUAGCCUAAGGGCCCUAAAAACCAUUUUAUAGGCAAAUGUAUUUUUAAAUAUUUUAUUUUGAGAAAAUUCUUGUUCCAAAAGUUAGAUCAUACGAAAAUAUGAUUUUACAAAUUUUGUUGCAUUUUAUUUGGAGUGAUUUGGAGCUUCGAGUCAAUUUUGAGGUUCAAAAACAAAAAAUAGAUAAAAGAAAAGGAAAAACCAAAGAAAACCGGUCAAACCGGACCGAACCGGAACGAACCGGACCGGCCUAGCCCGAACAGCCCAGCUUCUCUCACUGACUGGUGGGCCCCACGUCUUCUUCAACCUCCGUCCGAUUUUCCCGGCCACGCACAGUCCGAGUCGCCCACGACUCCCCCUCCGAUUUCUCCGCGCACGGGCCGUUUCCUCCAAAUCCCUGCGCGUCACCCCAAAGCCCUCGCUUUUCUCCUUCACUUCCCCCAAACCGCUCGCCCGAUUUCGCACCGGUUAGAAAGUAAUUGCUCGCCGGAGUUCAUUGCUGCCUCUUCGCGUUUUGCCGUCGUUCCGGUGAACUUCCGCCCGCGCCGACCCCAUCUCCUUCCUCCUCUCAUCCUUGCGCAUGCAGUGACGCGAGCCGGCCGGGAUUUGGAGCUCCGCGCCGCCGUCCGCCGUCUUGCCCGGCGCAGGCCGCCGCCCGCCGGCCGCGCGCUCCGCGUCCGCGCCCGCGCUCGAGAGCCCGCUUGCCGCCGCCUCCGGCCUGCCGUGCCGCCCCGACCGCGCGACCACCCGCGCGCCGCCUCCGCGCCGCUGCCCCACCCGCCGCUCGCCCGCGCCCUUGCACCGCCGCGCCGCCUGCCGCGCCGCCGCCGGCCGGAAACCUAGAAACCAGCCAGUCCCGCCAUGCCACGAGGCGAGGAUUUUGUUUUAUUUUUUUCGGCCGAAUUAGAUAAGGCAUUUUUGCAGAAAUGCUCCUACAACUUCAAAGCCUCAUAUCUUUCAAACCGUUUGUCCAAAAAUUGUGAUCCGCACCUUUCUGGAAUCGUCUCAGCGUGUACAAUAUUUUGGCACUGUUUAAUUUCAGUUUUGAACAGCUUAGACAGAAGCUAUUUAUAGAAUGGUUGAAUAUGGUUUAAAUUUCAAAUGAAUUGAUUCAAAAUAGUUUUGAGCAUGUUAUCUUGCUGUAAAAUUAUUUAAACUUGUCCUCUAUCAAUUAGGACCAGAAAAGAAAUUAUUUUGUGAAUAAUCAUGGCAUACAAGUUUAAAUAUUGCUCUAUGUUGUAAAAGCCACACAAUCUUUUGAUUUAAACCCUAUCCAUGUAUCAUGCAUAUUAAUUACCACUUUGAUGUUGUAUAAUCUGUCCAAAUCAUUUGAAAAAAAUUUCAAAAACAGAAACGAAACGUUGUACUUUAGAAGUAACCUUUGCGUGCAUCAUCAUGGCAUAUGCAUCAUGGCAUGGCUUUUGUAUUGAAUGUUGUGUUUAUUGUGUGUGUUCCUUUUAUUUUAGAUUGUGUGGAGUGUAAUCCUUGUUGUUGCGAAGAGUGCGAGAACUACCACAAUCUUGGACAAGGCAAGUUCACUUUGAUCAUUCUCCUAAAUAUUUUUACUAUGCACUAGAUGUUUUAUUAGAUGCAUCAGGAAUAUUACUCGUACUUUUAUGCUAGCUAUAAAUCCCAGGUAGUCUAGUUUACCCUCGCCGUUACCUUGCUACCAAAAUUGCCAUCGAUUAUAGUUGAAUGCUAGGCUAUGAUAGUAUCGUGGGGGAAAUAACUACGUUAUGAUAUUGUUAUGCCUUUGGCGAUAUGAAAUGUUUUGUUAGAUGUAAGGCAAAACAAUUAAUUCAAUGAACCGUCCUGGGUGGGCUGCUUUGAAGAUUUUGAGGAUUAGCGGUGUCAGGUCCAUUUCUAUGGGUCCCUCUGAGUCGAGUUCCUGUGGAUUCAGGAAUGGAUCGUCCAUGGACGUCUCUCCCGUGGGUUCGGGGAGCGCCUACGUUGCAAAUGUGGAAUGCCACCUGGGGUAACCAAGACUGGACUAGUUUCCUAUUUAGAAGUUUCCAGUACAACCACAAUGCUAUAUGGGCUCUGGCGAGACAAGAGUAAGUUGUAUGAACCUAGACCCGAGGAAUUGUACUGAGGUAACCGUGCAGGGGGAGCGUGAUUCUCUCGUGGUUUAGGGAAUUACCUCUGAAAAUCUCGUAAUCGAUGCCGUUGCUACUCUACCCUGAGGACAGCAAGGGAUUAACAUGUCGGUUUCUUGUGGGGAAUGUGUACAAACUCUCGAAAGCGUCAAAACUAAGUACUUAGCCGUGUCCCUGGCAACGGACAAUUUGAGCAACUAGAUGUGGAGCUGUAAGGAAACUCUCACUCAUUCCAACUUCUUAAAUAAAAUGAAUGGUUGAACAGGGUAGGAGCACUUGAUGAAUCCAUUUCAAUGUGCUCUAGGAUAAUAGGAGCAUGGGUGUGUCUACCCCGUGUCCAAUAGCGAUAAAAUUCUAUUUGAUUAAAAGAUAGGAUUCAAUAACUAAGCUUUUAUGCAAAUAGCUUUGAACCCUACUUUGCCACAUUAUGCAUAUACUUGAUAGGCUCUGGUAUAACUCCUAGUGAAUCUUGCCAAUACAUUCAAUGUAUUGACCCUAGUGGCUGCAUCGUUUAAUGAUGCAGGAAACUCCGACGACGAGUAAGAUGUCCGUUCUGCUUGUUUGGGUUACGGCCCUACAUUCCAACACGCUCUCACCGUGGUGUUGAUGUGCCCUUGUAUCUUUCGUUUUCUACUGCUAAACAGUUGUUUUAUUUCUAGCUAACCCGUGAGGUUAUGCGAGUUGUAAGUACCUAUUAAAUUCUGGAUGACUCGUUGUAAUAUUGAGACAUUUGUUCUAUGAUAUUACAUCUUGAAACUGUGUGCUAGUGAGUCGAUCCAGGGACUAGCACUAAAGCACAGAGAUCGAACCCUUGUACGGGAGCGGUCGUUUCACUACUACAAUUUACAACUCACCUACGCCGUUCAAGACCGACGAUGAAUGACUGCGGGCGGGCAUGGCCGGAGCAAAAGCCACGCUACCUGCGGCGCGUGUACCGACGAAGACACGGACUCUGCCGCCGCCACACACACAUCACCUCUUCUUCAUGCACGGGAACUUGAAGCGAAGACCGAAGAUGACAACCACGUGGCUUAAUCGGAGGUAUCUCGCAGCGCAACCCGUGGGAGUAAUUAACCAGGAGCCUUCCGAGGCCCCGGGGACCACGAGACCGGGGACCAGGAGACCGCAAUCGCCAUAGUCAGGCUGGCCGCGCUAGUAGGCCACGGAGCGCAACACGUUCGGGAAUUGUAUUUGUUUAUCCUUGAGAUUAAUAAAAUACUUUUCCUACACUUUUAUUUGUGUAUCUCGAUACACUGGCACGCCCGCAUACAUAUACACAUGCUAUGUCUCUCCCUUUUGUUACCCUGGUGCGUAGAGAUACACUCCACCCCUCCUCCGGAGUGUUUUCUUGUGUCGAACAUUGAUAUACGCCGUUUUGGCGAAUUCGAAAAAUGCCGUUCCAAUUCGGACCCAUCAUAGUGACAUUUUUUGAAGAAUCUAUAGAUUUGCAAUGGCAUUUUUGAAAGAUUAGAAUUGUAGUGGUAUUUUUCAAAUUCACCAAAAAUGCAAUGACAUAUAUCAAAUUAACCAUAAAACAAAUGAUUUAAUACCCGCGCCCCUCAAACUCCAAUUCUCUCUUUCUCUUUCUCUCUCUCUCAAAUUAACCAAACAAGUUGUGAGGUUACAAGGCCAGCAUGGAUCAAUUGACAUGUUUGGUCUUAUGCAAUUUCUUCACCCAAGGCACGGCGCAAUCACAAGAUGCAAAAGGCGAUGCUGGAGGUGAAGACUUCUAAGUACCUUAAUUAACUUCAUCUUCUAAAAACUAUUUUGUUUGCUUAAAAUUAUUUUUUUCUUAUGAAAUAAUUUCCUCUCCAUCUUGUUUUGUUGGACCCAGUUGGUUAGGGCCUAGAAGUACUAUGGUGGAAGCUACAGCGAUCCUGGGUGUGAUCUCCGAAUUGAUUGAAAAACAUGAUCGUCACGAACAUUGGUGAUAUCCAAAAAAUGUUGUAAGAUUAUAUUUUUGCAAAGUUACUCGAAAGCUUUACAUCCAUGCAACUAUAAACUAAUUAACCACAAUUACGGUGGAAAGGCAAGGAAAAUACCAGCAAUAUAAAAUGACUUCAGAAGAAGCAAGCAAACAUUCCUAUCACUUGCUUUAUACGUCUCUUUCUCGUGCUUGCAUUUUAAGAGUAAUAAAAGAGGAUAAUUGUUUUUGUGGGAUCACGCAAAACUGUUCUCACAUACAAUGCUCACAUCGUAUUAUAUACUAUGCAUUAAUCUGAAGUGAUCGUACAGAUCUUUAUAGUUGGUCCAGUUGACCUGCAUCUAUCGACAAAUAUUUUCAAUGGUUGUUGCCGAGCGUUGUAGCUAUCCAGCUAUAUUUUCUACUUAUUUUACCAGUUUGAAUUUCCUGGAAAUUAAAGCUAUCCAAAUUUUGUUUUGGGAUGUGUAUGUAACGACUUUUAGCCUGUGAGUCAUGUAAGCUAUCUUGCAUGGUUGAAUCCCUUAAAGGUAACAUAUUUAUGAUUCCAUAUAUAUACAUAGUUUGAGGAAUGGGUAAAUAAGCAAGAUAACAUUAAGAAAACCAAAUCUGCAACUCGAUCAGGUCCUGUACUUACAUACAAGAAAUUUUUCUUAACUAAGACUAAAGGUGUUUAACGAGAUACUGUUAAAGAACUAAGUACAGGUUCCAUAUUCAUUUUUAUGGGCAAACACAAGUUUCAGUAAAUAAAUUGCACGAUAAGUAAGAUUGAAUGAAAUUUGAAUUUUUAAUGAAUUUAUUCAUAACAAUGAAAUAUGAUACUAUACCAAAAUUCUACGUGAAGUACAUAUCACUAGAUUAGAAAAGACACCCAAACUAACAUGAGAAUGCAUCAUGUCAAAACCUUUUAUCCAGUGAAAACUUUUAAUUAGUUCUACCCAUGCAUUAUAUUUUUUUAAAAGGGAUCAGAUUGAGGUGUAACCUCUAAUCAGUUAAUUAAAUACUCUUUACGGGACACAUAACUUGAACAACCCAGUCCAACAAUACGAGGUGUCCUGGCACACGAGGUGCGGGACGGGGGCAGCGCGUGCAGCGGCCGGCGAAUUAGCGCCUUGUUAGUUUCAACUAAUUGGGCAACAAAAUUGAAAACGCAUGUGAAUCGAGUGCACGCCUGGGGCCAGUUUGAUACAAAAGUGCAGCGUUCAGCCUGUCUUGGUAGGUGUGCGGAAACUAAGACCCCUGUUAAAGCAGGAUAGAGGAGUACAUUUAACCUCUAAACACAUACUUCUCCGUUCCGAAUUAAUUUAUUUGAAUUUGUAUAAGUUUUUUUUCAUAAAAUGUGUUUAACUGGUUACAAUUUUCACCUUUCAUCUGAUUCGUCUAUUUGAGAUCUAACAUGACUAAGAUUGAAAGUUAUUCUGGAACAUGAGUUUUCACACUAUACGUCGUUAACCAACAUUGCACGGAUGUUUAAUAUUAUCCUGCGGAUGUUUGUUUUCAGCGCAUAUGGGUUAAGAAAAUCCAUAGGCCUGACUCUGAUACUCGUCAUUAUCGUUCUCGAUGCUAAGCAAUUGGAGAUCUGAGAUAUGCAUCAUUUUGACAACUUGACAUAUCACAUCAUUGUUUAUUUGUUUGUCUCAGCACGUUUCUUACUAAUAUUCUUCCCCAAACAAGUGGGGAAUGUUAAAAUAAAUAAUUCUAGCUAGGAUCUGUGUCAUGAAGUACAGUAGAUCUCGUGGAGCAGCGCCAGCGGUUCCAUCCACCGCACAACACUGUUGGAUCAAAAAAGCAGGUGACUUGGGGUCUGUGCUAAGCUUUAGGCUUUGCAGGAUGUUCAGCAAGGGCAGACUAUGAUUGUGUCACGGGGUACGGUACAAGAUUUUAAGAAUUCUUGGGCUGAACAGUGUGCCUAUCCACCACUCAUGUCAGGAAGCACCAUGUAGUCCUUAUCCUAUUUCAGACACGGCCGGAGACAUGCAGUCUGGCACACGUACAGUACGGCAGCAAAGCGAGGGCGACGUAGUUUCACUGGUGGCCAGUGACCUUAAUUUCCAAGAUUACCGUGAUUUUUUUAAAACAACCAUCUUGUUUUUGUCGAUUCAUAAAAGAAAAUACAAUAGAUCGAAACAAACUAAACGAACGUAAGGAACGAAAAUCCACUAUAAAACUAAAAGCCCCAUCAUGGUCUUUCGAAAUCAACAUUUCUAAAUCCAUCUUCCGCAUUUUGACAUUUCUCCAUGUAAUUGACAAGGAAAAAAACCCAAAAAGACCAAAAAAAGAAUUUUGAGAACCACUGACUCAAUGGAGCAGGAAGUUACCGUGAUUUUCUGAGAUCAACUCUUUCAAAAGUUAUGGUUUCUGAGAUUAUUAUAAACAACUGUGGUUUUGUGAGACAACUAUCACAAAAAAUAUGGUUUUGUGAAAUUAACUCUAAUAAUAUUCUAGUACACUUAUCUUGAUUUUUCAUGGCCUAUAUAUCUCGAGGAAUCAUCUGAGGGUGCUGACUGGCGGAACCAGUGCUCCAACGUUCUGUAAAAUUCCGUAUAAUUCUUUGAGUAAUUUCCAGAUUCAUGAUGCUUGAUUACCAAGAUAUAAGGAGUAGCCAGAGUGUGAAGUAGCACAUCAUACGCCAGAAAACAAAGAGGAGAUUAUAUCAUUGUAAACACAUCGUUCUCUGCCUUUUCGUCAAAAGGAUCUGAAAAGCCGGUGGCCCUUCUGUAUACGCAUAUUUAUUUCUCUUGUUUUACACGAGGCACAGCACAAGCCGGGCCAGCUUUAAUUCGUAACCGCAUGUCUCUCUCAUACAGCAGCUAGGAUGGUCUCUGCUUUCUCCUCAAUAAGUUCGAGCCACCUCCUUUGCUUUGGAUCACCUUCUUCGUUCUCGAAUUCUUCGUUCUCCAUUAAUUUCUCCCUCCCAGCGGCAGGUCUACUCGACCAGCUGCUAGCUGCGCCAUGGAUCCCACUCUGUUCAUCAUCGGCAUCAUAGGUACUGCUACGUGUGCGCAUGGCUGAGUCUGUCUCUGCCAUUUCCUCUCUAGCUAGCGCUAUUUUCUUUGUUUGACAUAGCUUCGCCCCCUGUUGUUGCAGGAAACAUCAUCUCCGUUCUGGUCUUCAUUUCUCCCGUGUAAGAGCAUACCAUAAGCAUUUGUUUUCUUUGUUUCAUAUCGUGCUUUAAUUGAAUGAAAUGCAUGGCUGCAGCACGACGUUCUGGAGGAUCGUGAGGGGCGGGUCGACGGAGGAGUUCGAGCCGGCGCCAUACGUGAUGACGCUGCUCAACGCGCUGCUGUGGCUCUACUACGGCCUCACCAAGCCCGACGGCCUCCUCAUCGCCACCGUCAAUGGGUUCGGGGCCCUCAUGGAGGCCAUCUACGUCGUCCUCUUCCUCAUCUAUGCCAACGACCAUGGCACGAGGGUGAGCCCCCCCACCCAGCACAGCACCGACAGAUAUGCAUGCGUCCUUUUGGGAACAUGUACACUCAAGUUUAUGAUCAACAACACAUUAUUUCCUUUGCUUUUUCAACUGAAGGAAGUUUAUGACCAAUUACAUUUCCUUAAUUUGCUUUUUCAAGGUUAAAACCGCGAAAUUGGUGGCAGCUUUGGACAUCGCCUUUUUUGGGGUCGUGUUCGCGACUACAACGUUUGCCAUUGCUGAGCUUGACAUGAAAAUCAUGGUUGUCGGAUUGAUAUGCGCCUGCCUCAGUGUCUUCAUGUACGGGUCCCCACUCGCUGCCAUGGUAAGGUCCCACGCACCUGCAAAAUGAAAUCAAUUAUUUUAUGGAAUUGGAUCUUACUCCUUCCAUACCAUAUUAAGUGACGAAAUAUUACAUGUAUCUAUUUAGACGCUUUUUGUGCAUAUAUACAUUCAUCGUUAGAGGUGGGCCGGAAACCAUCACCGGGUCAUGUGUGUAAUCAUGCUGACACAUUCCAAUCUUGUACGGUAUGCGUGCCUCGCAAAAUCAUGCUGGAAAAGCAUGCAUGUUUGCAACUAUGGAGAUUUUGGAGUAUUUUAUAGGAACCAAAAGCCGGUAUGAUCGAGCUGGUACAGCUGACAAUAUAAAAAGUCGUACUGUGUCGAACAUAUAUUACUGUGUAAAUCAUGCAUAAAGAUAGUAAGUGUACAAAUCUUUUGCGCACCAAAUGCAUUUGCUAAUUUAUUUGCCUGGCUAUGUAACGGUAUUCGUAGUGUAGAAAAAUGAAAAAAGAACUUUUCUUAAAAGUCAAACAGCGUUGCGUGCUCAAAGAUUGUGAUUGCACAAGCCGUGCACACGAGAGAUAUAUAUGCGUGUAGGUGUAGGUCAACAUACAGCAGCGAUUAACAAAUAUAGAGCUAGCAAACGUGCACGGAUAGAAAAUGUAAGCGAACGUAUACAUGUGUGAAUCGAUCGUGUAAACAUGCACGGCAUGAAUGUGGGUGUGUGCGCAUCAUUUUGAUGCAGAUGCCGAGGGUUUAAAAUCUCCUUUUCGAAAGAAAAAACAUGCACGCCAUAUUGAGUUGUUUGACGGAGGCAAAACUUUUUUAUUCUGAGAGAUAAGAGCGAAUUGCGUGAUAGAUAGUUGACUAAUACUCCAUCUCUAAAUAUAAGAUGCUCUAACUUUGUUCUAAGUUAAAUCUAUUAAACUUUGAUCAAGUUUAUAAAGAAAUCUACCGACAUCUAACACUCUAAAUUAAUUUUAUUAUAUCCGCUUGAAUCUUCAUAAUAUACUUACCUGAUAUAUAUAUUGUGGAUAUUAGUACAACUUUCUAUAAAUUUGAUCAAACUUUCAGAUGUCUGACUUAACAUAUUAUAUUUAGAAACGAAUGUAGUAUUUUUUUUUAACCAUGGCACAUGCAGUUACCCACACAUCAUCAUACGUACUCACAAAGCAGAAGCUAAAGUCCAAAAUCGCGAAACAUAGGCACCAAACUUGAAAAAUUGAACGAGAUGAGUUGUGGGGCAUCUCUGUUAAUCAUUCAAGUUAUGCUUUGUUCUAGCUGAU